This is a small RNA of Klebsiella sp. RIT-PI-d, 66 nucleotides long. NCBI's taxonomy places the organism in Bacteria, Pseudomonadati, Pseudomonadota, Gammaproteobacteria, Enterobacterales, Enterobacteriaceae. The record is from Rfam.
GAAAGCACGACAUUGCUCACAUUGCUUCCAGUAUUAUCUUAGCCAGCCGCGUGCUGGCUUUUUUUU